This 497-nucleotide ribosomal RNA is filed under the name uncultured bacterium. RNAcentral's name for it is "partial 16S ribosomal RNA". It matches the Rfam family "Bacterial small subunit ribosomal RNA", at positions 28 to 507 of the family's 1533-position model. The record is from RNAcentral.
GACGAACGCUGGCGGCGUGCCUAAUACAUGCAAGUCGAGCGAGCAGAUGAGGAGGUUGCUCCUCGGACAUUAGGGGAGGACGGGGGACGAACACGUGGAUAACAACACUAUAAGAAUGGGAUAAAUUCGGGAAACCGCAGCUAAUACAGGGGAACAUAUAGAGCCGCAGAGAGCAAAACGGAAAGACGGCUUUGCAGACACGGCGAGAGCGGUCCGCGCCGCAUUAGCUAGUUGGUAAGGUAACGGCUUACCAAGGCAACGAUGCAUAGCCGACCUGAGAGGGUGAUCGGCCACACUGGAACUGAGACACGGUCCAGACUCCUACGGGGGGCAGCAGUAGGGAAUCUUCCGCAAUGGGCGAAAGUCUGAUGGAGCAACGCCGCGUGAGUGAUGAAGGUCUUCGGAUCGUAAAGCUCUGUUAUUAGUGAAGAACAAAUGUGUAAGUAACUGUGCACUUCUUGACGGUACCCAAUCAGAAAGCCACGGCUAACUACGUG